GAGAGGGAGCGGCAGAGACUGGAAAGUCUCAGGAAGAAGCAGGAGGCUGAGGAACAGAGGAAGAAGAAAGUGGAGGAGGAAAAGAGACGGCGGCAGGCAGAAAUGAAACAGAAGAGGGAAGAGCGACUAAGGAAGGCGCUGCAGGCUCGGGAGCGGGUGGAACAAAUGGAGGAAGAGAAGAAAAAGCGGAUGGAACAGAAGAUUUUACAGAAUGACGAAAAGUCGCUCCAGGUGAUGGGCUCCUCUUCACGUGACCCGUAGUAAGUGGUGGACUUGUUGCAUGAGGCUGGCGUUAAAUCCAGUGGGUGUUGGGUUCUCAGUCUGAUUAAGACCUGGGUCUGAUUAAGACCUGCUUAAGACCACAGGCCUCAAACUUCAUAAGAUCUCCCAGUUCCCCCUUGUGGAAAAGGCCGUGACGUGUCCAUGGGGGGCUGUGGAGCAGAGCUGUGUGGCUUUCUCAGGUGCGCAUCUCGCAAGUGCGGGAAGAGAAAGCGGUAGAGGAAAGGAACAAGAAAAAACUGUCUAAGAAGGCUGGAGAAGCUGAUGCACGGAAACAGAAAGCACUGAGGAUGGAGGAAGAUGAAUUUGAGCAGCAGGACCUACUGCAGAAAAGGAGAGAGGAUGAAGUGAAGGAGAAGGGGAAGAAAGUCUUGGAGCUAAAGAAUCUCGUAGAGCAGCGCCAGGUGGAACAAGUGAAGGAGAGGGAUCACAAACAACGAGAGAAGGAGAAGGCCCCCCCACCACAGCUGGAGUUGGCAGUGUUUACUGGAAAAAAUAUAAAGGAGGAAGACAGCCCCAGAGAACUGCACCAGCUGCUUGGUCAGGAGAAGAGAGGCGAGCAACCAGAAUUCCUUGCCACGGCUUCUAAUACACGGCUCAAAGUGGUAAAGGAGGAAACCAGUCUGCAGGAGCCUCAGCAGCAGACGGGAGAGGAGAAAAAAAGCAAGCAACCAGAAUCAGUGGCUGCUGCUUCCAGCACAUGGCUGAGCAAAACUGUA
Molecule: long non-coding RNA, 998 nt
Filed under: Apteryx rowi (Okarito brown kiwi)
Lineage: Eukaryota; Metazoa; Chordata; Aves; Apterygiformes; Apterygidae
Description: lncRNA (ENSARWG00000013157.1)
Source: RNAcentral